This 73-nucleotide transfer RNA is filed under the name Pteridomonas danica. Its description in RNAcentral is "tRNA-Ile". It matches the Rfam family "tRNA". From Rfam's summary of the family: Transfer RNA (tRNA) molecules are approximately 80 nucleotides in length. Their secondary structure includes four short double-helical elements and three loops (D, anti-codon, and T loops). The record is from RNAcentral. Lineage: Eukaryota; Dictyochophyceae; Pedinellales.
AGUUUUGUAGCUUAAUGGUUAGAGCGGAGGAUUCAUAUGUCUACGGUUACUGGUUCAAAUCCAGUCAAAACUA